RNAcentral lists this ribosomal RNA (253 nucleotides) under uncultured bacterium. RNAcentral's name for it is "partial 16S ribosomal RNA". It matches the Rfam family "Bacterial small subunit ribosomal RNA", at positions 524 to 776 of the family's 1533-position model. The record is from RNAcentral.
UACAGAGGUCUCGAGCGUUGUUCGGAUUCAUUGGGCGUAAAGGGUGCGUAGGCUGUAGACUAAGUUUGGUGUGAAAUCCUGGGGCUUAACUCCAGAAAUGCACUGAAUACUGGUUUGCUGGAGGACUGGAGAGGAGAUUGGAAUUCACGGUGUAGCAGUGAAAUGCGUAGAUAUCGUGAGGAAGACCAGUGGCGAAGGCGAAUCUCUGGACAGAUCCUGACGCUGAGGCACGAAGGCCAGGGGAGCAAACGGG